AUGGUGGUAGAGCAUGGUACCCCUGUAGCUCAGUUGUUGGUAGAGCAUGGUGCCCCUGUAGCUCAGCUGGUGGUAGAGCAUGGUGCCCCUGUAGCCCAGUUAGUGGUAGAGCAUGGUGCUCCUGUAGCCCAGUUGGUGGUAGAGGAUGGUGUCCCGGUAGCUCAGUUGGUAGAGCAUGGUGCCCCUGUAGCUCAGUUGUUAGAGCAUGGUGCCCCUGUAGCUCAGUUGGUAGAGCAUGGUGCCCCUGUAGCUCAGUUGGUAGAGCAUGGUGCCCCCGUAGCUCAGUUGGUAGAGCAUGGUGCCCCUGUAGCUCAGUUGGUAGAGCAUGGUGCCCCUGUAGCUCAGUUGGUAGAGCAUGGUGCCCCUGUAGCUCAGUUGGUAGAGCAUGGUGCCCCUGUAGCUCAGAUGGUGGUAGAGCAUGGUGCCCCUGUAGCUCAGAUGGUGGUAGAGCAUGGUGCCCCUGCAGCUCAGAUGGUGGUAGAGCAUGGUGCCCCUGCAGCUCAGAUGGUGGUAGAGCAUGGUGCCCCUGCAGCUCAGAUGGUGGUAGAGCAUGGUGCCCCUGCAGCUCAGAUGGUGGUAGAGCAUGGUGCCCCUGUUGCCCAGUUGGUGGUAGAGCAUGGUGCCCCUGUAGCCCAGUUAGUGAUAGAGCAUGGUGCUCCUGUAGCCCAGUUGGUAGAGCAUAGUGCUCCUGUAGCUCAGAUGGUGGUAGAGCAUGGUACCCCUGUAGCUCAGUUGUUGGUAGAGCAUGGUGCCCCUGUAGCUCAGUUGGUGGUAGAGCAUGGUGCCCCUGUAGCCCAGUUAGUGGUAGAGCAUGGUGCUCCUGUAGCCCAGUUGGUGGUAGAGGAUGGUGUCCCGGUAGCUCAGUUGGUAGAGCAUGGUGCCCCUGUAGCUCAGUUGGUAGAGCAUGGUGCCCCUGUAGCUCAGUUGUUAGAGCAUGGUGCCCCUGUAGCUCAGUUGUUAGAGCAUGGUGCUCCUGUAGCUCAGUUGGUAGAGCAUGGUGCUCCUGUAGCUCAGUUGGUAGAGCAUGGUGCUCCUGUAGCUCAGUUGGUAGAGCAUGGUGCCCCUGUAGCUCAGUUGGUAGAGCAUGGUGCCCCUGUAGCUCAGUUGGUAGAGCAUGGUGCCCCUGUAGCUCAGAUGGUGGUAGAGCAUGGUGCCCCUGCAGCUCAGAUGGUGGUAGAGCAUGGUGCCCCUGCAGCUCAGAUGGUGGUAGAGCAUGGUGCCCCUGCAGCUCAGGUGGUGGUAGAGCAUGGUGCCCCUGCAGCUCAGGUGGUGGUAGAGCAUGGUGCCCCUGUAGCUCAGGUGGUGGUAGAGCAUGGUGCUUGA
RNAcentral lists this long non-coding RNA (1323 nucleotides) under Oncorhynchus mykiss (rainbow trout). RNAcentral's name for it is "lncRNA (ENSOMYG00000059019.1)". Lineage: Eukaryota; Metazoa; Chordata; Actinopteri; Salmoniformes; Salmonidae. The record is from RNAcentral.